Molecule: ribosomal RNA, 269 nt
Filed under: Pseudomonas aeruginosa
Lineage: Bacteria; Pseudomonadati; Pseudomonadota; Gammaproteobacteria; Pseudomonadales; Pseudomonadaceae
Description: partial 23S ribosomal RNA
Rfam family: Bacterial large subunit ribosomal RNA
Source: RNAcentral
CCGAAAGACCAAGGGUUCCAGUCCAACGUUAAUCGGGGCUGGGUGAGUCGACCCCUAAGGCGAGGCCGAAAGGCGUAGUCGAUGGGAAAAUGGUUAAUAUUCCAUUACUUCUGUGUAAUGCGAUGAGAGGACGGAGAAGGCUAAAUCAGCCUGGCGUUGGUUGUCCAGGUGAAAGGAUGUAGGCAUGUAUCUUAGGCAAAUCCGGGGUACUCUAUGCUGAGAUCUGAUAGCAAGCUGUACUUGUACAGCGAAGUGGUUGAUGCCAUGCU